Molecule: long non-coding RNA, 1879 nt
Filed under: Triticum aestivum (bread wheat)
Lineage: Eukaryota; Viridiplantae; Streptophyta; Magnoliopsida; Poales; Poaceae
Description: long non-coding RNA (TAES_LNC023678)
Source: RNAcentral
CUAGGGCAACCUGGACCUGAUAUUGAGGAAGUGGAGACAAGAAGAGGAAGAGGAGAAGAUAAGGGGAGGAGAAAAAGAAGAUCCUCACCUACCCUGUCUGAUUCCCCUUGCUCAAGCCUCAAGGGUGAGUUCCCCCACCCUAGAUGAUCCUCCCAGGUGUUGUACAUGGUGAAUCCUAGGUUCCUAGGGCUGGGAGCAGCAAGGUCAUUUGGGAAAUAGGGCAAUAAUUUGUCUAUAUUGUUGUUUCUAAGUAUUAACACAUGGAAAUCAUCAAUUUCGAGUCCCUGCAUGGCAAAAUCAGUAUGUGGAAUGUUUUGUAGGUAUUGUUCCCACGAUCGUUUUGAGUGGUUAAACAUAUCAUUUAUCAAUCGAAAUUGUGAAGCUCAUGUUAUGCCUGUUCUUUUGUAACUGGCAGAAAUUUCAGAGGCAACGAAAAAUAGAGUUUUCCCGUGGGCUUUAGGAGCUUUUAGCAUUCAAUUAAAUUCAUGUUUUGUUCCCUGCUAUGUUGUGUGUGAUGCAUAGUUGUUAGUAUGAAAGGUUUCAAUUAAUUCUCAUGGGUAUUCUUUGUGCUAUAAAUUUCCAAAGGCGGCUACUCGUUAUUUCUAAAUCUGAAAACAACAGUGAAGUACUUGCUGGUUUUGACCUUCAUAAGUUCAUAUUCUGAAUUUGAAUAGUUGGAGUUAUUUGUAGAUAAGUUCCUUAUGAAUCCAUAGCCAUCUUGUUUGCUUGUUUUUGAGCUUCCUAGCUCAAGAUGUGAUUUUUUGGGCGAAAGGGCAGCAAAGGGUUGCUACCCCGAAAAUGCGAUAGGCGCGCUUUUUGGUAUGUUUUUCAUAUCAUGUUAUGGCGCAAUCUUUAAAACUGAUAUUUAUGUUUCUACAACAGGUUGCAAGCACCAAUCAACCUCUGGUAGCCUCGCAACGGUUGAGGCGAGUACAUCGGGCAACAAUGGUUAGAUUACUCUCUUAAUACUAUGUUCAUGUUCACAUUUGUUUUUUACAUUCAUGCAAUGGUGAACAUACAAUUCCCUAGAGUAUAAUUUAAUACACCAUACCACUAGUAUGUGGUAGGGAUUUGUUCUUGAUAAAAAAAUCCAUCAUGAGUGGAUCUUCCCAAUUAAAGGACUGAUUCUCGCUUUGCAAGCGUAUGGUCCUUCGGGUCCAUCCUCAUGUUAUUGUCCUCUUGGUGAGGGUUGAAAAGGAGUUUGGCUGAGACGUCAUCCCUCCUCAGCUUGCGCCCGCGGUAGCUCAAAGCCAAGUCCUCGGUCUUAUUUGGUUGCAUUAUAUUCUUCAUGCAUUCUCACGCCAUUCAAAGCAUGGGAGGUUUGAGUAUAACAUUCACCCGUUCAAGCAUGGUUCAUCUUCAUGAUCUUACUAUCUAUUCUAUAACAUGCUUUGUUGUGUACUUGCUGAGUCUUUGGACUCACCUCUCGUGAGCUUUGUUUUAGGUAUAUCACUGUGAGCAAGUAGUUGGAAGGGCGUAGCUCCCAUGGGUGUUCACUCCCAAAUUUCACACCCCUUUUAUUCACCUAGCUUGAUCAUGAUAACCCUCAUACUUUAGUUCAUUGUUCUUGAUAGCUAGGAUCUACUUGUUGUGUAUAAACUUGCUUCGGUUUGUUCCCACCACUAUGUUUACUUUACAAGGUGGGUUGAAGUUUGCUAGUCCCCACCUAGUACCCGUGUGUGCUUGGAACGUAUCGUUUCUUGUUCCGGUGUAGCAUAACCGUUUGUGGCUUCACCACUUUGCUCUAUAUGGGUUAUAUGAGCUAGUUGAAUGCUUCUGCUUGUGGUAUCAUUUUUUUUGAAACAAGAUGUGGUAUCAUUUAUAUAUACUCUGUUUGUUCAAUUGCCUAUCGUGGAUGUCCGACGGUACAAGAGAGAUG